AUGAGUGAGGUUGAUCCUCCACCGUCUCCUCUGCUGUGUAACCAGCAGCUCUUCACUCCUGUUUUCAGUCACCGUGGACAAACAGCUGUAACUCUCACCUCUGACACUGAGAGUCACUACUUUCUGUGUCAGCAUGUCUCCAUCCUUGUAGACGGUGCAGGUGUAGACUCCACUGUCAGUGAGGUGGAGGUCUUUCAGGGUCAGACUGAGGUCUUUAGUUCUCAGUGGAUCUUCCUUCAUCUCUGUGCGACCUCUGUAACCCUGGUCCUGUUUAUCUGGCUGAUUGUUUCCACUCUCAUACACGUGGACCUUCCUGUUGUUGUGUGUCCACUCCACUGUGACGUCCUGAGGAAGGUCAGCUGUGGGUUUAAAGGGUAGAAGGACAGACUCCUCCCCCUGUGGUGCCUCCACCACCUCUUGUUGCAGAGCUGAGAGGAGAACAUGUACAGACAGACAUCAGUGUCCUUGUAUUUAAAUGUGAAACACAGUAAUAUACAAUGACCUCACCUGUGUUAUUACACAUGUGUAUAUAUGUUAUUGUACAUGCUGUUGGUGGUGUUUGGCGAACUCACCACAGUGUCAUUACAAAGGUAAGUAGUGUUCUUAGCUUAGUCCGACACUGUGACGGUGAUAAUAAAUCUUUGUUACACAGAUGUCAGUGAGUCAGAUCCUCCAUCAUGUAACCAGCAGCUCUUUAUAUACAACCAAAGGUGGAGGUGAUGGAGUAAAAGUGGAAGUUGUGCAUGAAGCAGUGCUGCUGUACACUGAACACAGCAGCAGUCCAGUAGUUGUUAAAAAAAGAUGGUCAUUGGACAUAGAUGACAGGGUGUCAAUCUGGGACUCUCCACCGUUUGGUCAGAAGAAGCUUCUCAGAUGAAACAUCUCAAACUCAGAGACACUGCUUUUGUUUCCACGCUCCUUAGAUCGUUUGUAUCCAUGUGAUCUGUUAUUUACAGUCAUGAUGACUCCUUCUCAGUGGGUGGAGCCUCCACCUGUGGAAGGAGGAGCUGAAGCUAACACUGCGUCCAGAUGUUACAGACGUGUUGGAAACAUCAGCAGCUGGUUUCAGUGAUCUGUGAGGAGCUGCUGGAUUCAUGUGUGGAGGUCAGAGGUCACAGACAUCAGUCAGAGUGAUGGUAGAGCUCGCUCUGUUACUGAGUCACACACACACGUACCUUCACUUCUCUUCUCCAUCCUUACAUAUGCACGGCACACAAACAGACCAAAGGCAGCAGCCAGGAUGAUCAGAGUACCCAGCAGCACAGCUGAGAGGACUUUGGGCCACACUGGAGGAGGUACUGUAACACAAACACACGAGACAUGAACAUCAUCAACAUGUUCAUAUGAACUCACAUCAAUCUGACCUCUGUCCACUGACCUGAGACCUUCAGCUGUACUUCAGUCUGGCAAAGCCUGUCUCCAAACCUGAGGGCGAUACAGCAGUAGGUUCCACUGUCAGAGACUAUGGGGUUCCUCAGAGUGAGGCUGAGGUCUCCAGUCUGCAGAGCGUCGGUGAACAUUGAUGUUCGGUUGGUGUAACGAUCGUUUUGACCACUAAGAUCGUCAUUGCUCUGUAGACGCAGGUGAACUGUUGGGUUCCUGAACUCCUCACAGUCCCACACUGCUGAUGUGGAGCUCCUGGAAACAUCAGCUGGUACCUGACAGGGCAGCAGGACAGACUCAACCCCCCUCAUACACCUCCACCCCUGAGGCACGCUGGGAAACUGAGGAGGAGAAACAUGAAACAGGUGAGAUCUGUGCUUCACAGUCACAUGACUUUUCACACACACAGUGAUGUUCUCUAUGAUGUUUUGUCUCUGCAUGUUAAUGAUCCCACACACUCUUCAGCUGUAGUUGAACUUUAAAGCUGAUCCAAGCAUCAGAUCUGAGACUCUCCUGUCACCAUGAAGUCUCUGCUAACUCCUUCAAACACAUCCUAAACUCUCAGGAAAACAAACAUAAAGGACAAGAAAGAAACAAACACCGCAGCUCAGGUCUGUCACGGUGAACCUGUCCAGCUCAGUGUCUCCAUCCAGCUCAAAUCACCAACACAACACAAACACAAGUGUGCAGUAUAGGACAAUAAUGCACACACAGCAGGCCCUGUCUUCUCCCAUCACACAGUUAGAAACCUGCUCUGUACUCAGAACAUCACAGAGGAAACAGCUGAAAGAAGCUUGCUGUGAGUGUCACUCAGGUCCAUCAACAGGUGAGCUGUCAGGGUCCUGGGUCUGAGCGA
Molecule: long non-coding RNA, 2239 nt
Filed under: Oreochromis niloticus (Nile tilapia)
Lineage: Eukaryota; Metazoa; Chordata; Actinopteri; Cichliformes; Cichlidae
Description: lncRNA (ENSONIG00000027597.1)
Source: RNAcentral